Lutra lutra (Eurasian river otter) is the source of this 1574-nucleotide long non-coding RNA. RefSeq lists it as uncharacterized. NCBI's taxonomy places the organism in Eukaryota, Metazoa, Chordata, Mammalia, Carnivora, Mustelidae. The record is from RefSeq and is a predicted model, not a curated record. The transcript is spliced from 3 exons.
GUCCCCUCCCCGCCUUCUCCAUCCACCUCCUCUUAAGCCCAUCAGUUGAUCCAGGGCCAGGUUUCCCCGCAGCUGUGUUCUAAGAAGAGGCAGGGCUAUGGGCCGAGGAGACCAGGGCAGAAGGAACAAGGAACUAAAAGCUUUCCGAUUCACCCUUCAAUUUUCUGCCACAACCUAGACUCGCCAUUAAAGCCUAUGGCAUUGGAGACAUGGCCCAAGCCAGGGAAUGGACACACAACUCACUAGUAACACUCCCUAGUGUAACCUCAGCAAUUUAAUCCUUCCCAGCCUCUACUUCACCUUCUGUAAAAUGGGUCAAUAACGGUGCUUACCUCAGAGGGUUGCCGGGAGGCCCAAGUGAGGUGAUGUGUCUGGCGGGCUUUGUAAAUAUCUGGCAUGAAGCGAAGGCUUGAUGAACGAUAGCUCUGAGGAGAUUCUCACUGAAGCCUCAAGGUAACACGCCGAGGCACAGAGAUACGGGCCACGUGUGUCUUCAGCCAGCAGGAGGCUUUCUGCCAGGAGUCUGGAACGGAUCAACCUUGGACCCCCAAAGCCCCAACGUUAGAAGCUGGUCACCUACAGGAGGCUUUCUGACGCAGAGCCCUGCCCUCGGGUUGCUUGCCACAAGUCCGGUAGGGGAAACGACACUGUACGUCUAGAGGGAAACCACGGGAGCAGAGGUAGGGAACCCGGACGAGGGAGUAGGGGUAGGGGUAAAACUCAUUCUCCCAGCCAGAGCAGGAGGUGGAAGUUAUGGCGAGCCUCACAGGACAGACCAUCCCUUCCCCAGUGCUUGUCCAGGCCAGUGCCUCUCGGAGUACAGUCUGCUGACCCUUGGCUGGGCAUCACUUCUAACGAUGCAAAGGCUGGAGAAAGCUGCUGAGGCCAGGAAUCAGCCAGGAGCACCGAACCCGUGCCCCUAGCGAUCACAGUGUGCUUCCUCACGCUAUGUUCCCUGGGGGGAAAGCCAGCUUUACUCGAGAAGAAACAGGAGGAAGUGUGCCUUGUCUUCAAUUAAAUAUGGUCUGCAUACACCGGGCGCAUCAGCUCUCUACCAACGUGGGAGGGAGUGCAGCACUGCUCACUGCUCUUUUCAUGGCGUGUCAUUUUGACUUGAUGGAACGACUAAUUGAAAAACUCUGGUUAGUUGGACCUGAAUAUUUGGUAGAUAUUUUCUCAAAAAUGAAACACAUGGACCUCUCGCUUCAAAGACAACAGCUGAGUGUACUGGUGGUCAGUUAUAAAAUCCAGGCUUUGGGGGGAAAGUUCAAGUCUUGAAAAAUUUGUAUCUGCCUUUGUGAAUGCAAGAGUUUCCCAAAUACGCAGACUUUUCUGAAGAGAUCAGGGGUGAUGUGAACGAAUGUGACUUUAAAAAACUCACUGUAUAACAUAUAAAGUGUGUUAACAUUUGGAACAUAGGCAGAAAUCAGAGUUCCAGUAUUUUCCAAAUGCCCAAUGCAUACUGCUACAAAAUCACACAUAGGUCAGAGAUCCAUUCAAAGUGUUACACAGGGGCGCCUGGGUGGCUCAGCCGGUUGGGCAUCAAACUCUUGGUUUCAGCUCAGGUCAUGAUC